AUGACCAGAGUUCCGCGAGGAUAUAUAGCCCGGAGACGACGAACAAAAAUGCGUUCAUUUGCCUCAAACUUUAGAGGGGCUCAUUUAAGACUUAAUCGAAUGAUUACCCAACAGGUAAAAAGAGCUUUUGUUUCCUCUCAUCGAGAUAGAGGUAGGCAAAAGAGGGAUUUUCAUCGUUUGUGGAUCACUCGGAUAAACGCAGCAACGCGGAAGAAAUUGAUUCUUAAUCGUAAAAUGCUUGCACAAGUAGCUGUAUCAAAUCCAAAUAAUCUUUACACGAUUUCCAAUAAAAUAAAGAUCAUCAAUUAA
Molecule: ribosomal RNA, 309 nt
Filed under: Triticum aestivum (bread wheat)
Lineage: Eukaryota; Viridiplantae; Streptophyta; Magnoliopsida; Poales; Poaceae
Description: partial small subunit ribosomal RNA
Source: RNAcentral